Long non-coding RNA from Felis catus (domestic cat), 2780 nucleotides. RefSeq lists it as uncharacterized. Lineage: Eukaryota; Metazoa; Chordata; Mammalia; Carnivora; Felidae. The transcript has 3 exons. The record is from RefSeq and is a predicted model, not a curated record.
GUCACACGGGCAUGAAUAACAUUCAAUCACAAUUUAUCAAGCAUUUUCUAAAGUCCCAGAUCCUAUGGCUGGGUGUCGGGGAUGUGGUGAACGUUUGAAAGGUCUGAGAGAAAACACAGAUUCUAAUCAUGAUGAUGAUGAUCCUGCUGGGCUUUAUAGUCUACGGUGUAUUUUCACAUAUAUUGUUAAUUGGAUCCUUUCAGAAGUCUGUGCAGGAGCUCCCAGAGACAGGCUGAGUCUCUCCCCUUCACCAGAGCUCACCCCUGAGGCUCUGGGAGGACAGAGGACAGUCAAGAUCCCCAACAAGAAAGUCCCAGCCUGACCUGACCUCCUUUCUCUCUUCGCUUCCUGUUUGUAAGCCCUCUUGGACGGAUGCAGAAAUGGAAGCCCAGAGACGUUAACUAACUUGUACAAAGUCACACAGCUACUAAGGGGCAAAGCCAGAAUUCAAGCCAGACUUCAGUCUCCCAUUCCAGGGCUCUUUCUUCACAGCACCCAAGCCACCUGUGGAUCGGCCCUCCUGCCUGAACCUCCGCUCUGAAGUAGGUUCAGGCUCUGACGGUGACUCACAUGAGAAGAGGUCUUGGCUCAAGGGCCCUCAGCACAGGAAGUUAAUCGAGCUAUUGAAGUUGAGCCAAGGAAAGGCCCAUAAGCUCAGAGAUCGCCUCGCCAGAGAGAAGCUUUAUAAAAACAAAAGCACAGCCACAUCAACUAAAUCAUCUGAUGCUCUGAUUAAGAAGCAUGAGUGGCCACCCCAUGUGAUCUGUGAUGUGAUCUGUGCGCUCCAGCCCCGGAGACAAGAUCGGGCACAGAUUUCUGCCUUUGGGGUAGGAGGAUGGUAUUCAGGCAGGAUUACAUUUGUGGGGCUGGGGAAGGGUGAGGUGAUGUGGGAGGGAGGGAUGGGGCCUUUCAGGCCUCCAGUCUCACAGCUAUGCUGCAUCUUUUUUUAAAGCAAAUAUAAUUCGGUUUUCAGUGAACUUUAAAUGAAAUCUAAAUUUUCAAUGGAAAUUAAAAUUUGUCAUUUAGUUUUAAUUAUUUAAAAAACCGUGUGCGUUACUGAAAGUCUUAGGAGGGAGAACAACGAAGUCAUGUGUCAAAAUACUCAAAUAAGGAGAAAAUAGCAACCAUAACAGGAAUCUAAGGGAACGGUGAGUUUUGCAUCAGAACAGACUCAGUGCAGUGAGGACUUCCAAAGAGGGCUUGAUAGACUCCUUCCUUCAAGGACCACCCCCUUCUCUCCCUUUGAUGAGGGGAUUCCAGCAGGGAUCCACCAGGUAGCUGUAAAGCAAAGAAGGUCAUCUAUGGAGGGUUGACCUUGAACCCCAAAGCACUUCUUGAACUGCUAGAAGGGGCUGCCCGGCUGUUCUGGAGAUCGCAGGGUCCCGGUAUACUGGGGGCAGCCAACCUCUCAGCCCUGGGGAAAAACGUGCACACGGGAGCAGCCGGGCACGCGCCCCAAGCCCCUCCCUCUGACUGUGGCAAGACCUGUGUUUAGGGGUUACACCUGCCUCUUUUCAAAUAGCUUCUCAGUUGAAGAUUCUGCAGCGACUGUCAAUCUAGACCCUGAAUCCAGGAAUGUUCAUAGUUAGUGCUGAGCGCGCAUGACGGGACAGAGAUUUAAUCAGAGACCCGGUUUAGGGUGAUGUUGGCGGUGGCGGUGAAGCCUGACGGUAGACACCAAACCCUUAGCAGAGUGGUCCUGGAGGAGCGAGUCCGGGUAAGCAGCCAAGAUCUACCAUUCAGACAGCCCGCGUGGGCCUGACUGGUGAGUGAAUUCUGCAGAACUCUGUCUGCAUCCUGAACUGGUCAGGCCUGCCUGUGACCUUCAUCCAGACCUGUCUGGAAGGGACCGGGACAGAAGAGUGGCAAAGCCAGCGGUGAAGGACUGUCCGGAAGCUCUCCCACGUGCUCUCUCUGGACUGGCCAACCAGCACGUCUUCUCCGUCGUUCAGCUCGAAUCCCCCCCAGGCUUUUGGUGGUGGUGUUUAAUCUGAGUCUUUACCUUGCUGAGCACUAGGACACAUAGGACUUAUGCAGCCAAGAGCUGACAAAAAGGGGGUCCCUACACGGGCGCUUGGUGAUCCUGUAGCCCAGAAGGGUUUGCUCUCCCCCUGAGACCCCAUACCCCCUGAGUCCCGAGGUGCUCAAUCAGCUCCCAGGGCUGGGAGAACCUUGUGUGCCUGUCUCAGAGCCGAGUCCUCGGAGCUGGAGGUAUUGAGUGCGAGGAAAGCCAGAGGGGCCUCAGCCAGUCAACCCGUAGACUUGAUGUUGGCCAGCGCAUCUUGUGACUUCCGGUAUCAAAGAUUUCUCCCGCUGAAAGGAAGGGCUGGAGCUUCCACGGCUCAGAGGCACUCAGUGGAAUGCUCUGUUCUAUUUUAGUGACACAAUGGUCACAUUAUCCUUAAAACGAAGAAAAUGCACUUGGGGCGUAAUAAUACUGCUUCCCUUGCGUUCUGUCCCAUUCUUCCUUCCUGCCCUUCACCGCACCCUCCCCUACUCUUUGCUCUAUUUUUAUUGAUGUGAAAUUUAUAGAACAAACAAUGAACCGUUUUUAAAGCAUAUGACUCAGUGGCAUUUCGUGCAUCACAGUGUUGUGCAACCAUCACCUCCGUCUAGUUUCAAAACUUUUUCAUCACCCCAGAACAUCCCUGAAGGCAUGAAGUGGCCUCUGUGGCUUCCCCUCCCUGUCCAGGCAUGGCAGGAACCACUCAUCUGCUUUCUGUCUCUGGGGAUGUGCCUCCUCUGGACAUUUCAUAUAAACGGAAACGUGCAGUAUGUAA